Ribosomal RNA from Xenopus tropicalis (tropical clawed frog), 119 nucleotides. The record is from Ensembl. NCBI's taxonomy places the organism in Eukaryota, Metazoa, Chordata, Amphibia, Anura, Pipidae.
GCCUACGGCCAUACCACCCUGAAAGCGCCCGAUCUCGUCUGAUCUCGGAAGCUAAGCAGGGACGGGCUUGGUUAGUACCUGGAUGGGAAACCGCCUGGGAAUACCAGGUGUUGUAGGCU